This 299-nucleotide small nuclear RNA is filed under the name Marmota monax (woodchuck). RNAcentral describes it as "7SK RNA". It matches the Rfam family "7SK RNA". From Rfam's summary of the family: 7SK was discovered as an abundant small nuclear RNA in the mid-70s but a possible function has only recently been suggested. The record is from Rfam by way of RNAcentral. Lineage: Eukaryota; Metazoa; Chordata; Mammalia; Rodentia; Sciuridae.
GGAUGUGAGGGCAAUCUGGUUAUGACAUUUGUCAUCCCAUUGAUCACCAGGGUUAAUUCAGGUAAUCUGGUUGGCUAGGGGAUCCCUGUCUUCCCUCAUACUCCAUGUACUUUUCUCCCAAAGCUGCAGGCUCUGUUGAAGAGGAUGACGUUCCAGAUAGAAGAAGAUAGUUCUUUGGUCAAGGGCAUAAAAGUAGCUGCCCUCCUCUGCUAGAAACUCCAAAUAGGCUCUCAAGGUCCAAAUACAAUUCUAGUUCUUUUAUAUAUGAAUUUUCUUCUUGGGUACUUCUGCCCUCUUUA